RNAcentral lists this ribosomal RNA (511 nucleotides) under uncultured bacterium. RNAcentral's name for it is "bacterial SSU rRNA". It matches the Rfam family "Bacterial small subunit ribosomal RNA", at positions 15 to 518 of the family's 1533-position model. The record is from RNAcentral.
GAUUAUGGCUCAGGAUGAACGCUAGCGACAGGCUAACACAUGCAAGUCGAGGGGCAUCACGGGAGUAGCAAUACAACUGGUGGCGACCGGCGCACGGGUGAGUAACGCGUAUGCAACCUACCUAUCAGAGGGGAAUAACCCGGCGAAAGUCGGACUAAUACCGCAUAAAACAGGGGCACCGCAUGGUGAUAUUUGUUAAAGAAAUUCGCUGAUAGAUGGGCAUGCGUUCCAUUAGGUAGUUGGUGAGGUAACGGCUCACCAAGCCGACGAUGGAUAGGGGAACUGAGAGGUUGGUCCCCCACACUGGUACUGAGACACGGACCAGACUCCUACGGGAGGCAGCAGUGAGGAAUACUGGUCAAUGGGCGGGAGCCUGAACCAGCCAAGUCGCGUGAAGGAAGAAGGAUCUAUGGUUCGUAAACUUCUUUUGCAGGGGAAUAAAGUGCAGGACGUGUCCUGUUUUGUAUGUACCCUGAGAAUAAGGAUCGGCUAACUCCGUGCCAGCCGCCGC